Non-coding RNA from Trichobilharzia regenti, 49 nucleotides. The record is from Rfam. Lineage: Eukaryota; Metazoa; Platyhelminthes; Trematoda; Strigeidida; Schistosomatidae.
AUCCAGAUGACAAGUCCCAAAUAGGACGAAAUAUGCAUCCUGGUUGGAU